UUGGAGGGCAAGUCUGGUGCCAGCAGCCGCGGUAAUUCCAGCUCCAAUAGCGUAUAUUAAAGUUGUUGCAGUUAAAAAGCUCGUAGUUGAAUUUCGGGGUUCAUACGUUGGUCGGGCUUAUUGGUCUGUACUUAUGUAAUGGAUUCCCACCUUCUGAAUAACCGGCAUGCCAUUAAUUUGGUGCGCCGGGGAAGCAGGACUGUUACCUUGAAAAAAUUAGAGUGCUUAAAGCAGGCUUAUGCCUGAAUACAUUAGCAUGGAAUAAUGAAAUAGGACGGCAUGGUUCUAUUUUGUUGGUUUCUAGGAUUGACGUAAUGAUUAAUAGGGAUAGUUGGGGGCAUUAGUAUUCAAUUGUCAGAGGUGAAAUUCUUGGAUUUAUUGAAGACUAACUACUGCGAAAGCAUUUGCCAAGGAUGUUUUCAUUAAUCAAGAACGAAAGUUAGGGGAUCGAAGACGAUCAGAUACCGUCGUAGUCUUAACCAUAAACUAUGCCGACUAGGGAUCGGAUGAUGUUAAUUUUUUAAUGACUCAUUCGGCGCCUUACGGGAAAC
This 551-nucleotide ribosomal RNA is filed under the name uncultured Acaulospora. RNAcentral describes it as "SSU rRNA". It matches the Rfam family "Eukaryotic small subunit ribosomal RNA", at positions 548 to 1098 of the family's 1831-position model. Lineage: Eukaryota; Fungi; Glomeromycota; Glomeromycetes; Diversisporales; Acaulosporaceae. The record is from RNAcentral.